This 397-nucleotide ribosomal RNA is filed under the name uncultured bacterium. RNAcentral describes it as "partial 16S ribosomal RNA". It matches the Rfam family "Bacterial small subunit ribosomal RNA", at positions 523 to 918 of the family's 1533-position model. The record is from RNAcentral.
AUACGUAGGGGGCGAGCGUUGUCCGGAAUGAUUGGGCGUAAAGGGCGCGUAGGCGGCCCGGUAAGUCUGGAGUGAAAGUCCUGUUUUUAAGAUGGGAAUUGCUUUGGAUACUGUCGGGCUUGAGUGCAGGAGAGGUAAGUGGAAUUCCCAGUGUAGCGGUGAAAUGCGUAGAGAUUGGGAGGAACACCAGUGGCGAAGGCGAAUUACUGGACUGUAACUGACUCUGAGGCGCGAAAGUGUGGGGAGCAAACAGGAUUAGAUACCCUGGUGGUCCACACUGUAAACGAUGAAUGCUAGGUGUAGGGGGUAUCGACCCCUUCUGUGCCGCAGUCAACACAAUAAGCAUUCCGCCUGGGGAGUACGGCCGCAAGGUUGAAACUCAAAUGAAUUGACGGGG